Molecule: unclassified non-coding RNA, 237 nt
Filed under: uncultured fungus
Lineage: Eukaryota; Fungi
Description: sequence contains ITS2
Rfam family: 5.8S ribosomal RNA (bases 1-52)
Source: RNAcentral
AACGCACAUUGCGCCCCUUGGUAUUCCGAGGGGCAUGCCUGUUCGAGCGUCAUUAUGACCACUCAAGCCUAGCUUGGUAUUGGGGUUCGUGGUACUGCGGCCCCUAAAAUCAGUGGCGGUGCCGUCUGGCUCUAAGCGUAGUAAUUUUUCUCGCUACAGGGCCUGGUGGUUGGUUUGCCAAAACCCCCAACUCUUACGGUUGACCUCGGAUCAGGUAGGGAUACCCGCUGAACUUAA